This 583-nucleotide ribosomal RNA is filed under the name Acremonium sp. Its description in RNAcentral is "partial large subunit ribosomal RNA". It matches the Rfam family "Eukaryotic large subunit ribosomal RNA", at positions 38 to 647 of the family's 3401-position model. Lineage: Eukaryota; Fungi; Ascomycota; Sordariomycetes; Hypocreales; Bionectriaceae. The record is from RNAcentral.
GCAUAUCAAUAAGCGGAGGAAAAGAAACCAACAGGGAUUGCCCUAGUAACGGCGAGUGAAGCGGCAACAGCUCAAAUUUGAAAUCUGGCCUCACGGUCCGAAUUGUAAUUUGUAGAGGAUGUUUCUGGCGACGUGUCUUCCGAGUUCCCUGGAACGGGACGCCAUAGAGGGUGAGAGCCCCGUCCGGUCGUACACCUAGCCUCUGUGAAACUCCUUCGACGAGUCGAGUAGUUUGGGAAUGCUGCUCUAAAUGGGAGGUAUACGUCUUCUAAAGCUAAAUACCGGCCAGAGACCGAUAGCGCACAAGUAGAGUGAUCGAAAGAUGAAAAGCACUUUGAAAAGAGGGUUAAAUAGUACGUGAAAUUGCUGAAAGGGAAGCGCUUAUGACCAGACUUGGGCUCGGUGAAUCAUCCGGCGUUCUCGCCGGUGCACUUUGCCGUCCCAGGCCAGCAUCAGUUCGCGCCGGGGGAUAAAGGUUUCGGGAAUGUAGCUCCUUCGGGAGUGUUAUAGCCCGUUGCGUAAUACCCUGGCGUGGACUGAGGUCCGCGCUCUGCAAGGAUGCUGGCGUAAUGGUCAUCAGUGA